Cercocebus atys (sooty mangabey) is the source of this 7605-nucleotide long non-coding RNA. RefSeq lists it as uncharacterized. Lineage: Eukaryota; Metazoa; Chordata; Mammalia; Primates; Cercopithecidae. The record is from RefSeq and is a predicted model, not a curated record. The transcript is spliced from 2 exons.
GAGGCUAGGAGAGGGAUAGCAUUAGGAGAACUACCUAACAUAGAUGACAGGUUGAUGGGUGCUGCAAACACCACGGCAUGUGUGUAACUAUGUAACAAACCUGCACAUUCUUCUCAUAUAUCCUAGAACAUGAAGUGUAAUAAAAAAAACAUUGUGUUAAAAUGUGCAUAACAGAAAUUUUAUCAUUUUAACCAUUUUUAAGUAGAUAGUUUUGUGGCUCUUAGUAUAUUCACAUUGUUAUAUUCCCAGUGUACAUGUCCAGAACUGUUUCGUCAUCCCAAACUGACCCUCUAUAAUUAAUUACUCCUCAUAUUCCGCCCCUCCCCAUUCCUGGCAACCAUCAUUAUACUUUCUGUCUCUAUGAGUUUGCAAAGGCCGUUUUUAAUAGAGCGAAAACUUGAUAUCCACUAUUAAUAGGAGCUGUGUAAUAUGGUAGGACAAAUUUGGGACUGGAGCCAAACACUUUAUGUCAUGUUCUAGUUUGUAAUCUGGGCCAAACUGUUUGAUUUCUUUGAGACUCUGUUUCUUCACCUCUAAAAUGGAACUAGCAAUUUACUGUGAUGUUGUGAGAAUUACAUGAGACCAUGUAUGUAAAUCAUCAGGCUCAUAAUAGGCAUUUAAUAAAUGAUAUUAGAAAUAUAGAAUGCUCUCAAAGUAUUCUUAUUUUAUUUUAUUUUUGUUCUUAAAGUAUUAACUCAUUUUUUUCAGUUGUACAAGUUUUUAAUGACUUCUGCAGGAGCCAGUAAGACUACUACAGUGUAAUGAUAGUAUGUCAUUGUGAAUUCAAAUCUACCUAUUUCCCAGGUUGGUCCACAGUAUGUUACAAAUGAUUUUUUUUUUCCUUGGAGAGUAGAAAUCACAAGUUGUUGCAUUUUAUAAAUUGAAGUUUUAAACAAAGUUUUGUGAUAUCUAUAGAAAUAAAUAUUUUUGACUGUUGCCAGUAGAAAGCUAAGAAGCGAUUUAACUCAUGAAUUUUAUUUUUGGCCAGUUUUUAAAUCAUUCUCCAAUUUUCCUAUUAAAAUUAUUGUGUUUGUAAAAAAUCCUUACUCUUGUUCAAUUCACUGUCUGUCACUUCUGUCUUAGAAUAUAUAGAAUAAAUAAAAGGAGAUUUAACUUAAGCUUGCUAAAGUUUUGUUAGCUCUAAUAAAACAGGUCUUCUGUAUUCCAGGAAUCAGAGUAUUUAAAUCACCCAAAUAAUCAAGUUAUGCAAAUUAGUGAAAUUCCUAUAUUGUUAAGUUACAUAUUUUACUAUUUCUGAUGUAUUAAUUGAAAAAUAUUUACUGGACAAAUUCUCUUUUUUUAGAGAUGGGUUCUCCGUUGCCCAGGCUGGAGUGCAGUGACAUGAUCAUGGCUCACUGUGGCCUGGAUCGCCUAAGCUUAAGGGAUCCUCCUAUAGGCACAAUCUAUGACAGAUAGCUUAUUUUUUUAAAGUUUUUUUUUGUUGAGAUGGAAAUCUUGCUGUGUUGCCUGGGCUGGUGUUGAACUCCUAGACUCAAGUGAUCCUCCUGCCUUGGUCUCCCAAAGUGCUGGGAUUAUAGGUGUGAGCCACUGUGCCUGGCUUUACUGAGCAGAUUCUGACCGUCAAGUAUUAAGUGUCAGUUUUUGUGAGAGAUUAAAAAAAAUCUAAAUCAUGAUCUCUUUCCUGAAAGAAUUUAGAGUCUCCUUGGAAAGAGAGGCCACUUGUGCAUUAAAGUUUAAGGUUGCAGUUCAGAAGGUCAGAGUCAUGGGGUUUGCGAGACUAAUGACGAGUUAGGAUGUAGCCAUGUCAUAUUUGAGGUGAAGAUGGGAUAUCCUAGUUUAAAUGAGACUCUGGAUCUCAGGACAAAAGACUGGCAUGCUAUCCAACAUAGACGGUUUUAUAUGCAUUAAUGAAAAAAGCAGAAUGUUGGUACAAUUUGUAAACUUUGCUCCCUAAUUAGUAAGUAUAUUUUAAAUAUUCUACAAAAUAAUCAAGUUUGACAGUAGUUUUCAGUUGCUACCUCUUUCUGUGGUCUCUGGCUGCUUAGCCAUUUUCUUGAAAUCAGUGGCUUCUGAAAGGAAGAAGGACAUCAGGAGUAUGUUAGAAUUGCGCCUCAAAAUCAGCUGAUUUCAGGUCAUAUAUCUUCACUACUUUCAGCAGAGAAGAUAGAUACCAAAAUUCCAGCUUGGUUAAGCUAAGGAUGGGAAUUGAAGGAGGAAGGAUGGAGAGCUGGGAUUGGGCCAGGCCUGUAGAAAGGCAUCUAGUUAUGACUGGCAGGUGACCCACUGAAUCAACUAAGUGAGUGGAUUGGUUUCAGUGCACAAAGUUAGUGUGUAAAAUUGUUAACUAAAAUUAGGUUUCUGGAAAAAUUUUGGGAUUUUAUUAUAAAAGCUAUGUUAAUCCUUAAUUAUCAUAGAAAUCAUUGAUCUGCCUUGAAAAUGGAAGAAGAUAUGCAUCCAAUUAGAAUAUUAUGCAAUUUAGCAUCACCAGGGAAGGGAAACAGCAGCAUUUGUUUGAAAUUAGGGGCUCCUUUUUUCCAAUUACAUUUUUCAAAGUUUGCUAUAAACUGUGAUUAUUUUUCAAAGAGUAGUCAUUCCUAUAUUGAAUUCAGCUGUGUGUUUAAUAAUUUUUACAUUCUAAAAUUUGUAUGGGGUAUAUAAAGUUUCUUUCCUCAGUAGCUGAAAUUGUUAGGUUAAAUUAAAGAUGAAAAUAUCUAGCAUUUGCUCUCGGCUUGAAGGGAGCAGCAUGUUUCUCAGGAAGUUCUUGCCUGGGAGCUCAGUUUGUUUGAGUUCUGUUAUUUCUAGUGAUGCUAGCUAAUCAUCUUUUAGAGUUUCAGUUUCCCUUUGGCUAUGUCAAGAGGUCGAGUAUGAUAAACUGCCUUCUGCUUUCCUCACUUAGAUGGGAGGGCCCGUGUUAUUCUACUUUCGAAGAGCAUUUAGCUUCUCCAAAGAAAAACACUUAACCAACUAGUGAAUCGUAAGAGUUCUAAAUGCUUUUCUUAGUAAUGUCUCACUUUUACUCUGUAGUGGCAGAAAAAUUUAGACAGCUAUUAUUUCCUCAGUUUUAGUGUUGGAGAAGACUAAGGCUGGGAUUUUUCAGGAAAUGAAUGAUGUUUUAACUUGAAAAAUACUGGAUCACAAAGAACAUAACAUGCGUGAACUCAUCUGUGUAACCAGCACCAAGAUCAAGAAAUAAAAUGGUGUCAGCAUCCCAGAAGCUACCCUCACACCUUCUCCCAGUUGCUGCCUCAUCCUAAAGGUGACCACUCUGCUAACUUCUGACCCCAUAGGUUAGUUUGACCCAUUUUUGAGCUUUGUAUAAGUGAGUCAUAUAAUAUGCAUCUUCGUGUUUGGCCUCUUUCCCUCCACAUAAUAUUUGUGAGAUUUACCUGUAUUUUUGUGUGAAGCAAUAGUUUAUUUUUAUGGAUGUUCAGUAUUCCAUUGAGUACAUAUACCAUAUUCUGCAUUUUAAAUGAUUCUUUUACACUUACUGUCACUCUUAAAGUGGAGUUGAGAAACUGAGUAUAAAAUGUCUAAGAUUAUAAGGAUCUUUGUGUUAUUUAACUUAUUUAUCAUUUUCAUUAUUUUAAUCUACUUCAUGGAAAUUGUGGCUAAGGAUUUCUAAUAUAAGCUCUAAAAUUUUAGUAUUAUAUUUUAGCUUUCUGAAUACAGUGAAUCAAUAUAGUAGGCCUUUGGAAAGGUAUUUAAAGUAAAUAUUACCUGAAAAAAGUAGUUUGUUAGAGGAUUAAACUCUCUGCAUUCUGUUCUUAUAACUUCAUAUAUGGCAUUUCUUGAAAUGAUUGAAGGAAUUCUUGGAUUUAAAGGGUCAUCUCGAUUUUCCUAGGAAGUCAUUUAGACAUUAUAAAUGAUGGUUUAUUCAGAAGAAAGAAAAUGAGACAUAGAGAUUUCCUGUCAGUGCAAGGAUAUUGGAGGACAGACUUCAACAUAAUAUUUAUAUAUAUUGGUAUCUUAUCCAGUUCAGCUCAAGGCAGAUAAUAGGUGAGUGUUUUGGUGCUGUGUGUAUAGGUUCUGGUAGAUUAACAAGUUAUUCAGUCUUGUGGCUGUGUUUUCAGAUUUGAAUCAAUUAAUAUUUGUAGAACAUCCUUGAGAUAAAAAAAUCAAGAUGAAGGUGAAAAAAUGACACAAGAGCUCUGAAUUCCCACCUUUGACGGGGCGGCAUACAAUUUAUUCAGGAAAAUGACAAGUCAAAGAUUCUUCAAGUUUGACAAUUAGAUACUAAAACAAAUAUUUUACACACACGUGCUAAGUGUAUGUAAUUGAAGAGGGUUAAGGAGGGAAGAAUACAGAGUAUUUCUUUUAAGUAGACCAGGAAGAAAGGACAUUUGAGUUAGACUUUGGAAGUAGGAGAAGUGAGAUAAUUGGCAUAGAAAUGUUGGUCAUUAAGUGGCGAAAGCCAUCUCCAUGGAAAAAUAAGGCAUAAAGGAGCCUGGUAAGAAAAGAAAAGAUUCACUGGUGUGGAGGGACAGAGAAUGAGGACGUGGUCAGGCUUUUCUUGGGAAUUUGAAUUAGUAUUCCAGGUAAAAGAACGCCAACACAGUGCUUCUCAGUAGUUUUUAAGCCCAUGCCUCCUUUAGAUAAACGUAUAUCUUUACCACUCCAUCCUAAAACUCGGAUUACCUUUCCUCCCCAUAAUAUGUAGGUGAUUAUCUUUUCUACAUUAUCUCCAGCCAAGAUGAUUUCAUUAAGCUUCACUCUCUAUAGUAUAUAUCGUAGAGAAAGGUAUCCCCCCAAAUGUAAAUUAGAUGAGAAUAUUGAGUUAAGUUAAUAACUACAUACAUCCCGGGGACAUUCCAACAUGCCUCUGUAUGUAUGUACUUCUUCAUUUCUCCUCCAUCCUUUGAAAAUCACCAAGGCUAAGUGGGAUAGCCAAAAGAAUAAAUGAGAAAGGUGAGGUUUCCUCCCCAGUGCACUUGAUACUAAUUGAAAUUAGGGUCCACAGACUAGGAAAUUUAGCGAAAUGGGUGUAUUAAAAGAACUAGGGUCUGGUCGGACAGUCUACUCUGAGAGGAGGAGGGGAAUAAAAUAGAAUUUGAAGAAAAAAAUCUGAAAGUACUGUUCUGAACUACGCUAUUAAAAUAGGCUAUAUAUACACUUUCUCCAGGUUUUUUGGACUCUGGAUGGAAAAUGAAGUGUUUUGUUUUAGCCAUUUGAAGGAUUAUGUGUCUGCAUGACAUUUGGUGGAGGUAUUUGAUAACUACAGGAAGUAAAAGAUUAGCUAAUAAGAGAAAACAAUCAGGACUGGAAAAUUAGAUUUGGAGAUGAUUCAUAUAGAGAUCAUUAUAAUUGCGAAGGCAAAUUAUGUUUAGGAGGCUCUGUAUAGAGUAGAGAGCAACUAAUCAAACCCUGGGGGAAUAUUAAUAGUAGUACGAGAGAAGCAAAUAUUAGGUUUCUGUCUGAGUAUUCAGAUGACCAGAAGGCGAAUCACCAGGAAAAUAUAUUUUAAAAGUUAAAAUUAGGAAUCAUUUUGGGGAGGAAUUUAUUUAGAUUUAAAAACACAUUUAUUGAGGACCUACUAUGGUAAGUGCUGGGGUUGUGAGUAUAAAUAGGAUAGAGUCCCCUAAACCUCAAGAAGCUGACAAAUAUGGUAAGGAAUAAAGAACUGAAGACAAUUGGGGUGUAAUGUGAUGGGUGAGUGCCCAGUAAUUUACAAAAUAGUUAUUUUCUAACUUAAUUUGGCUCAGGCAAGAAAAAAUAGUGCAAAUGUUUGGGGUAGGAGGGUGAGAAAGCAAAGAAGUUGCACAAGUAUUGUGAUUUUAUAGUAAAUGUUGGCAAGCUGGAGACAUAUAUGGAUGAUAGAUCCUCAGGGAUGUUUUGUGGGUUUAAUAUAUACAACGGAAAUUCUUUAGAGAAGGAUUUGAAGAGUUGUGCAGCCGUAUUGCUUAUAUGAGACUUGUGGUUUCUUUUCCACGUUUUAUAACUAUGAAGUAGUAGGCUGGGUCCUUGAAUAAAUGUGUGUUCUUUGGUUUGCAUGAAUGGUAUGUACUUUGAAUUCUCAAAAUAGAACUCCAGUUUAUUUUCUCAGUAGUCCCAGUGAGAACAGCUGUAUUUCUUAAAUAUGAUCAGAAAGCACGUGGUGGAGGAGUGUUUACUGUAGAAACCUAUGAUUGUCUGCAGGUACCAGCAUACACAUGUUCCCAUUCCUCAUCCCAAGGGAAUAAUCUCAUUAUUAAACCUGUGCAACCUUCAAGUUAGCUUAUUUUUAAUGUUUGUUUCAUAUUUUAGAAACAACAAGUGAACAUGGAAAAAAGUUUAACAAUAUAAAGGAACAUAUAAUAAAUGGUAAGCCCCAGAUCCUCAGUGCCCCAGAUUCUCAGCACCCCAGAGGCAAAUACUGUUAACCGUUUCUAGUGGGUCUUUCAUAGAAUAUAUGUUUUUAUUUUUAUAGAGAGAAUGGCUUUUAUUUGACCUCUGGAAGGCAUAAAGGUAACUGUAGUUUCCUUGCAAUGCAGUUGGCAAAUUAUUUUUACCUUCUUUUUCCAAGCAGACUCUGAAACAUGAGUUUUGAGGAGCAGGAUUAAAUACUCUAACCUAAGAGACACAGAUAUUUGGAUUUUUAUGUAGACAUGUACUCACUGAAACUGAAAUUUGGAGGAACUGGAAUUAAUAACAUUUUCCCUCAUGUAAUUCAUGGAACUUACUGCUUUGACUCCAAUUAUGCAUUUAUGUUAUAUUCUGAAUAAUGCAAAGGAGAAUGUUCAAACAUUUUAGGCCAUCAGAACACUUUUCCCACUCUCAAGCUGUCUCCCUAUUGUAUUGGUGCUGAAAUGCCAAGCUGCAUGUGACAGUAGAAGAGUUGGCAGUAUCUCUGUUAGAAUAAGCUUUCACAUGCAGCUUCAAACACCUUUGUGGUUUGGGUUGUAUUUUGACAGUUGCUAGGUAGCUUGAGUCAGAGAGUGCAGCUGUGCAAUUUAAGAUGCGUUUUCCUAUCCUAUCCUUUAAAGAGAGCUAAAAAAGUAAAACUGUAAUCAGAUUUCUAAAGUGUUAAAGGGGAUCAAACUACUUAGAACUUAUACAAUAGAAUGAAGUAGAUGAAUUCUGAUAAAGCACAUAGAUACUAAAGUAUACCAGUUAAUGUAUUUCAGAUGAAACUAGGUAGGCUCAUUGUAAACAGAUAAGCUUCUGAAAUUUCUGAACUGUUUCAUUGAAAGGUAAAACAAUGGGUUUGGGAGCACCCAGACUUCUUGGACAGGUGAGUGGUUAGCACUCAUUAACCACCAAAUUCUGACACAGACAUGCUGUUUAUGAAGAAAAGUCAGGGAAGGAGACUAGGAUUUCUGAUAAGAAAGAGUAGAAGAAAAUGUAGAAAUUCAACUUAGUAAAAUGGGAAUACUUCAGGAUUCGAAAUGGGCUCUUACAAAACGAGAAAUAAAGAUAGCUUUUUCAUAGGCUUCCUAUUCGGAGAGUUUUUCUUGUUGAUUUAUAGAGUGUAAAUGUACUUCUUCCUGAAGACAAGGACUAGGCCGAGGUAGGUUUGAUGUAAAUGUGGGGACUCAUUUGUUACGAACCCAUAAUAGACUGCUGUGGGAGAACAUUGUGAACAAAAGAAGGAGUCAAAAAAUAAACAAAAAAAUUUUGUGGCAAGUUAUCUAAGACAGAUCCUGGAGAAGGGCUGAUUGAGAAGGUAAA